AUUAAACUGACGAGUCCGAAAUAGGACGAAACGCGUGUCCUGGAU
Molecule: non-coding RNA, 45 nt
Filed under: Schistosoma haematobium
Lineage: Eukaryota; Metazoa; Platyhelminthes; Trematoda; Strigeidida; Schistosomatidae
Source: RNAcentral